AGACCUGAGACUGGCAGUUGAUGACUUAGGCACUGAAUAAAUUCAUCACUGGCAUCUAGGGAAAGUGUUAACUGUACAACAUUGUGUUUACUGGGGCCAACAGGAAUCAGUCCUUUGUGGCAACUCAUGACAGGGAAACAAGUAAGAACUAAGAACUCGGGCAUUCCUAAUUUUCUUCAACUAAUUAGGCAACAGAGUUAGC
Long non-coding RNA from Pipistrellus kuhlii (Kuhl's pipistrelle), 202 nucleotides. RefSeq lists it as uncharacterized. The record is from RefSeq and is a predicted model, not a curated record. NCBI's taxonomy places the organism in Eukaryota, Metazoa, Chordata, Mammalia, Chiroptera, Vespertilionidae. The transcript is spliced from 2 exons.